UCUCUGGUGGUCCAGUGGUUAAGAAUCUGCCUUGCAAUGCAGGAGACCCAGAUUCAAUUCCUGGUCAGGGAA
Molecule: transfer RNA, 72 nt
Filed under: Bos taurus (domestic cattle)
Lineage: Eukaryota; Metazoa; Chordata; Mammalia; Artiodactyla; Bovidae
Also listed under: 5 other names
Rfam family: tRNA
About the family: Transfer RNA (tRNA) molecules are approximately 80 nucleotides in length. Their secondary structure includes four short double-helical elements and three loops (D, anti-codon, and T loops). Further hydrogen bonds mediate the characteristic L-shaped molecular structure. tRNAs have two regions of fundamental functional importance: the anti-codon, which is responsible for specific mRNA codon recognition, and the 3' end, to which the tRNAs corresponding amino acid is attached (by aminoacyl-tRNA synthetases). tRNAs cope with the degeneracy of the genetic code in two manners: having more than one tRNA (with a specific anti-codon) for a particular amino acid; and 'wobble' base-pairing, i.e. permitting non-standard base-pairing at the 3rd anti-codon position.
Source: Rfam by way of RNAcentral